UGUUGAAGUGUUGUUUCUCUCUCUCUGCUGGAGUUUGUGUUCACUCGAGUGGAAUAGAGGUUUUUGUACGAGUGUUUCAUUAGAUUGUAUCACUGUGGUACACAUUCGGUGGAGGAACUAAACUGGUGCUCGCUGGUCCCACAGUGAAGCCCUCAGUGUCUCUGCUGCCGCCCUCUUCUCUGCAGAUCUCUGGAGACUCAGCCGCACUGCUCUGCCUGCUCAGCUCUUACUCUCCACAGGGGGCGCUGGUGAGCUGGACACUGGACG
This is a long non-coding RNA of Cyprinus carpio (common carp), 267 nucleotides long. RefSeq lists it as uncharacterized. The record is from RefSeq and is a predicted model, not a curated record. NCBI's taxonomy places the organism in Eukaryota, Metazoa, Chordata, Actinopteri, Cypriniformes, Cyprinidae. The transcript has 2 exons.